UUUUAAUGGCCGCGGUAUUUUGACCGUGCAAAGGUAGCAUAAUCAUUAGUUUAUUAAUUGUGAACUUGUAUGAAUGGUUGGACGAAAUAUUGACUGUUUCAUUAUUAUUAUUAUAAUUUGAAUUUUUAGUUAAAAUGCUUAAAUUUUUUUAAAGGACGAGAAGACCCUAUAGAUCUUUAUUAUUUAAUUGUUUUUGUUUUUAGUUUAUUUUUUAUUUAAUAAUUGAAUUAUUUGGUUGGGGUGACAUUAAGAUAUAAAUAACUCUUAUUUUUUUUUUCAAUUAUGUUUGUUUAUAUGACCUUUUAUUAUUGUUUUAAGAUUAAGAUACCUUAGGGAUAACAGCGUAAUUUUCUUUGAGAGUUCUUAUCGACAAGAAAGAUUGCGACCUCGAUGUUGGAUUAAGAUUAUAAAUAGGUGAAGAUACUUAAUUAUUAAGUCUGUUCGACUUUUAAAUUCUUACAUGAUCUGAGUUCAAACCGGA
Molecule: ribosomal RNA, 481 nt
Filed under: Spinohirasea bengalensis
Lineage: Eukaryota; Metazoa; Arthropoda; Insecta; Phasmatodea; Lonchodidae
Description: partial large subunit ribosomal RNA
Rfam family: Bacterial large subunit ribosomal RNA
Source: RNAcentral